GAGAAAGAGAGGGUAGGGGUAGAGAGAAAGAGAGGGUAGGGGUAGAGAGAAAGAGAGGGUAGGGGUAGAGAGAAAGAGAGGGUAGGGGUAGAGAGAAAGAGAGGGUAGGGGUAGAGAGAAACAGAGGGUAGGGGUAGAGAGAAAGAUAUGGAGAACAAUGCCUUCACAUUGGCCGGGAGAAAGAAAAAGAGAAAUAGAAAGAGGACAAGCCUUGACGUGGGCAACACAUCCACCCUGGCCACUGCUGCGGAGACCGCAGGGCUGGCAUACUGAGACCGCAAGGCUGGCAUGCUGAGACCGCAGGGCUGGCAUACUGAGACUGCAGGGUUGGCAUACUGAGACCGCAGGGUUGGCAUACUGAGACCGCAGGGCUGGCAUACUGAGACCGCAGGGCUGGCAUACUGAGACCGCAGGGCUGGCAUACUGAGACCGCAGGGCUGGCAUACUGAGACCGCAGGGCUGGCAUACUGAGACCGCAGGGCUGGCAUACUGAGCUCCUAAAGAGAACAGUAUGUUUGUCUAAGAGAAAAUGAACUCCUGCAUUCACACAGUCAACAGCUGCUGCAGCAGUUGAGAUCUGCUAAAAGCUAAAAGCAGAUGCUGAAAGGAGAAUGGGUUUCAAAUGUACCGUGUCUAUCCAUGUCUCAGUUCAAUCAGUAUCGGUGGAAUAUUCCAAUUUCUGUACAAUGCUGUAACUCCAUUUUGAGUCAUCCAUGUUUGUGGCUCUUACGCCAUAGAUGUUGACUGGUAGAUGGAUAUGUUUGUGUUUUAUCCUUCUCCUUUGUCUUUUGCGUGAGUUGGCUAAAACAGAAACAAAUCUGGCGCAAAGCUCCAUGUUCACUGUCACCUUUUGCACCAUUAUGGCCUUUUGAUGUGUUUGAAUGACUAACCGUCCUCAGGUCUAGACGCUGUCACCAUUAUGGCCUUUUGAUGUGUUUGAAUGACUAACCGUCCUCAAGUCUAGACGCUGUCACCAUUAUGGCCUUUUGAUGUGUUUGAAUGACUAACCGUCCUCAGGUCUAGACGCUGUCACCAUUAUGGCCUUUUGAUGUGUUUGAAUGACUAACCGUCCUCAGGUCUAGACGCUGUCACCAUUAUGGCCUUUUGAUGUGUUUGAAUGACUAACCGUCCUCAGGUCUAGACGCUGUCACCAUUAUGGCCUUUUGAUGUGUUUGAAUGACUAACCGUCCUCAGGUCUAGACGCUGUCACCAUUAUGGCCUUUUG
Oncorhynchus tshawytscha (Chinook salmon) is the source of this 1225-nucleotide long non-coding RNA. The record is from Ensembl. NCBI's taxonomy places the organism in Eukaryota, Metazoa, Chordata, Actinopteri, Salmoniformes, Salmonidae.